AUCCUUCUGUAGUUCACAAGCAUGAUGAUUGGGUUUUCAUGCUCAUGUGUGUGAUGUGCCUCCUUAAACCUUGUUAUGACUUCAGCACAUUAACCACCUGAUG
Molecule: small nucleolar RNA, 103 nt
Organism: Callithrix jacchus (white-tufted-ear marmoset)
Lineage: Eukaryota; Metazoa; Chordata; Mammalia; Primates; Cebidae
Source: Ensembl